This 33-nucleotide small RNA is filed under the name Bombyx mori (domestic silkworm). RNAcentral describes it as "ovarian small RNA-16363". Lineage: Eukaryota; Metazoa; Arthropoda; Insecta; Lepidoptera; Bombycidae. The record is from RNAcentral.
GCACGCAGAUCGCCCUUUAAGCCCUUGGCCGAC